CCGGGAAACUCACCAGAUAAGACAGCUGAAUGAUAGUCGGGCUGAAGACUCUACUUGACUAGCUGAGAGGAGGUGCAUGGCCGUCGUCAGUUCGUACUGUGAAGCAUCCUGUUAAGUCAGGCAACGAGCGAGACCCACGCCAACAGUUGCCAGCUCGUCCUCCGGGAUGGUGGGGACACUGUUGGGACCGCCUCUGCUAAAGAGGAGGAAGGAAUGGGCAACGGUAGGUCAGCAUGCCCCGAAUUAUCUGGGCUACACGCGGGCUACAAUGGGUGGGACAAUGGGUAUCGACACCGAAAGGUGAAGGCAAUCUCCUAAACCCAUCCGUAGUUCGGAUUGUGGGCUGCAACUCGCCCACAUGAAGCUGGAAUCUGUAGUAAUCGCGUUUCAACAGAACGCGGUGAAUACGUCCCUGCUCCUU
Molecule: ribosomal RNA, 421 nt
Filed under: uncultured Methanomicrobiales archaeon
Lineage: Archaea; Methanobacteriati; Methanobacteriota; Methanomicrobia; Methanomicrobiales
Description: bacterial SSU rRNA
Rfam family: Archaeal small subunit ribosomal RNA
Source: RNAcentral